AGCCGCUCCGCUGUUGGCGUAACCGGCAGCGCAGCUAUGCGGUCUGAGUUAUAAGAAUAAAUUCAAUAAGGACAUUCUAAAAACCGAAGUCAAACGGCACAGACGUGCCAGUGUUAUAAUUGUAAUAUUGACAUAUUACAUGGCGACCGUGACAAGUGUCACGAACAUGUAGAACAUAUGUUAAAAUAAAUCACAUAAGAAAAAAAAGCGGAGAGCGAGCGGCGAGAGCGGACAACAACAGCAGGCACCACUGGAAGCAGCAGGAAAUGGAGCGGAACUGAACGCAAAAUAGCAAAGCCAAGGAAGACCUGCCCGAACGACUGCGAGGGACCUCUACACUCGCCGCAUUGCGAGUACACCUGUGCAGCCUGCACCGGUGCCCCAACAGAGAAGCAGUAGCAGCCUGUGCAGCCAGCACCGGCCUCGUCUAGCGCAACAAGCUAGACCCGGAGCAAUGAACCGACAGCGCUUCCUAGAGCGCCCACCGCCAAACAAAAUUUUUUUUUAAAUGCCUGCGAUGCAUACAACUUAACUGUAAGAUCUAAAAUUGUAAAAUUGAGCGGAAUAACAUCUGCCCAAUUAGAGUGAGGCCUGUAAAGCCACACAAACACUAGGCAG
Molecule: long non-coding RNA, 618 nt
Organism: Drosophila pseudoobscura
Lineage: Eukaryota; Metazoa; Arthropoda; Insecta; Diptera; Drosophilidae
Exons: 2
Source: RefSeq, a predicted model, not a curated record